Molecule: ribosomal RNA, 573 nt
Filed under: uncultured bacterium
Lineage: Bacteria
Description: partial 16S ribosomal RNA
Rfam family: Bacterial small subunit ribosomal RNA
Source: RNAcentral
UGGGGAAUAUUGGACAAUGGGCGGAAGCCUGAUCCAGCAACGCCGCGUGAGGGAUGACGGCCUUCGGGUUGUAAACCUCUUUCAGCACAGACGAAGCGCAAGUGACGGUAUGUGCAGAAGAAGGACCGGCCAACUNCGUGCCAGCAGCCGCGGUAAUACGUAGGGGUCCGAGCGUUGUCCGGAAUUUAUUGGGCGUAAAAGGGCUCGUAGGCGGUUUGUCGCGUCGGGAGUGAAAACACCGGGCUUAACUCGGUGCUUGCUUUCGAUACGGGCAGACUAGAGGCAUUCAGGGGGAGAACGGAAUUCCUGGUGUAGCGGUGAAAUGCGCAGAUAUCAGGAGGAACACCGGUGGCGAAGGCGGUUCUCUGGGAAUGUCCUGACGCUGAGGAGCGAAAGUGUGGGGAGCGAACNGGAUUAGAUACCCUGGUAGUCCACACCGUAAANGUUGGCGCUAGGUGUGGGAUCCAUUCCACGGGGUUCCGUGCCGCAGCUAACGCAUUAAGCGCCCCGCCUGGGGAGUACCGGCCGCAAGGCUAAAACUUAAAUGAAUUGACGGGGUCAUAGCUGUUUCCU